Pecten maximus is the source of this 572-nucleotide long non-coding RNA. RefSeq lists it as uncharacterized. The transcript has 4 exons. NCBI's taxonomy places the organism in Eukaryota, Metazoa, Mollusca, Bivalvia, Pectinida, Pectinidae. The record is from RefSeq and is a predicted model, not a curated record.
CCAGUGCUGACCCUUUAUUCCAGAGAGUGGAUGCCUUUGUGUGACGUUGUGGUGUAUUAUAUCAAAGUUUGAAAGUUUAUUGUUAAUUUGAAACCCAUUUGGAUUUAAUCUACUUUACUUUUCAUUGACAACCCAGUUGGGAUUUCAUUCAUGGAUAAAUCUGGAUUUGGAACCAUUGGGCUCAAGUUCUGGAUAGUACUAAAUGUUUGUCUCUUGGUCAAUGGUCAACUGUCUAAUAACGAAUGUGGCCUUGAUCAAACCUCCCUACACAAGACGGGAUGGUCGGGCAUGGUACGUAGUCAAAAUGGAACUAAAUAUUGCGUAUGGAAGAUACAGGUUCCAGCCGGAAACUUAGUCAAGAUCAAUUUCACGCUUCUACUGAUAGAUGGCUUUAUUCCGAGCUCGGACUGUACCCGGCACGGCGUCAAGGUGACGGGUGGAAAUGUGAGUAGGUUAUUUUGCCUAACCUCGACUACGACUGACUGGAUAGUACCGUCCAAUGAGGUGGAGAUAUCGAUUGUAUCUGCCGAUAAACUACACCGAAGUAACAUAUUCGCCUUGAUUUAUGAAGG